Molecule: ribosomal RNA, 501 nt
Filed under: uncultured bacterium
Lineage: Bacteria
Description: partial 16S ribosomal RNA
Rfam family: Bacterial small subunit ribosomal RNA
Source: RNAcentral
AUUGAACGCUGGCGGCAUGCCUUACACAUGCAAGUCGAACGGCAGCACGGGUGCUUGCACCUGGUGGCGAGUGGCGAACGGGUGAGUAAUACAUCGGAACGUACCUUAUCGUGGGGGAUAACGCAGCGAAAGCUGUGCUAAUACCGCAUACGCCCUGAGGGGGAAAGCGGGGGAUCGAAAGACCUCGCGCGAUUAGAGCGGCCGAUGCCUGAUUAGCUUGUUGGUGGGGUAAAAGCCCACCAAGGCGACGAUCAGUAGCUGGUCUGAGAGGACAGUCAGCCACACUGGGACGGAGACACGGACCAGACUCCUACGGGAGGCAGGAGUGGGGAAUUUUGGACAAUGGGGGCAACCCUGAUCCAGCAAUGCCGCGUGAGUGAAGAAGGCCUUCGGGUUGUAAAGCUCUUUUGUCAGGGAAGAAACACCGGCUCUAACACAGUCCGGGAAUGACGGUACCUGAAGAAUAAGCACCGGCUAACUACGUGCCAGCAGCCGCAGUAA